ACGAACGCUGGCGGCGUGCUUAACACAUGCAAGUCGAACGGAGAAUUUAUUUCGGUAAAUUCUUAGUGGCGAACGGGUGAGUAACGCGUGGGCAACCUGCCUUCAGAUGGGGACAACAUCCCGAAAGGGGUGCUAAUACCGAAUACGAUCACGCUGCCGCAUGGCGGUGUGAUGAAAGAUGGCCUCUAUUUAUAAGCUAUCGCUGAAGGAUGGGCCUGCGUCUGAUUAGCUAGUUGGGUGGGGUAACGGCCUACCAAGGCGAUGAUCAGUAGCCGGUCUGAGAGGAUGAACGGCCACAUUGGGACUGAGACACGGCCCAAACUCCUACGGGAGGCAGCAGUGGGGAAUAUUCCGCAAUGGACGAAAGUCUGACGGAGCAACGCCGCGUGAGUGAUGAAGGUUUUCGGACUGUAAAACUCUGUUGUUUAGGACGAAAGUGCCUGUUGCAAAUAGUUGCAGGUAUUGACGGUACUGAACGAGGAAGCCACGGCUAACUACGUG
RNAcentral lists this ribosomal RNA (501 nucleotides) under uncultured bacterium. RNAcentral describes it as "bacterial SSU rRNA". It matches the Rfam family "Bacterial small subunit ribosomal RNA", at positions 29 to 507 of the family's 1533-position model. The record is from RNAcentral.